Long non-coding RNA from Neopsephotus bourkii (Bourke's parrot), 1427 nucleotides. RefSeq lists it as uncharacterized. The transcript is spliced from 2 exons. Lineage: Eukaryota; Metazoa; Chordata; Aves; Psittaciformes; Psittacidae. The record is from RefSeq and is a predicted model, not a curated record.
UCAGAUGUAGGGUGGAUGCACAGCAGAUGUGCAGCGGAUGCAGGGCAGAUGCACAGCAGACGUGUGGUGUGGUGGUUGUACAGCAGAAGCACAGUGGUUGCAGGGGAGAUGCAUGGUGGGUGCAGGGCAGAUGCAGGAUGAAUGCUCACUAGAUGCAGGGUAGAUGUGCGGUGGAUGCAGGGUGGAUAUGUGGGGUUGCACGGCAGAUAGGUAGAGGAUGCACGGCAGAGGCAGGGUGGGUGCACACUGGACAUGUGGCGGUUGCACAGCCGAAGUGCAGUGAAUGCACAGAGGAUGCACAGCAGAUGCAUGGUGGACAUAUGGUGAAUGGAAGGCAGAUGCAGGGUGGAUGCACAGCAGAUACACAGUGGUUGCACAGUGAAUGCAGGGCAGAUGCAUAGUGGAUGUGUCACAGAUGCACAGAGGAUGUGGGGUGGAUGGGUGGCAGAUGCUCAGAGGAUACACAGUGGAUGCAGGGCAGAUGCAGGGUGAACACAGGGCAGGUGCACACUGGACAUGUGGGCAUCGUGCAGCAGAAGUGCAGCAGAUGCAUGGAGCAGGAAUGGGAAACGGGUGGAAUGGGGCUCUGGAAAAGGAAUGGGGAACUGGAGUGGGAAUGGGGGAGCCAGGGCAGAGACAGUGUGCCAGUGGAAUGGGAACUAAUGACACCCCAGAUGGGGACCUGGUUGCAGAUGCAGAUGUGGACAUGGAUGUAGAUGUGGUUGCAGGUACAGAUUUGGGCAGGGAUGCAGAUGCAGCUGUGGAUGGAUGCAGUUGUGGGCACACAUGUAGAUGUGGCUGCAAAUGCAGAUGUGCUGAGGAUGCAGUUGUGAACACAGAUGCAGCUGUGGUUGCAGAUACAGAUGUGGGCACGGAUGCAGUUGUGGGCACAGAUGCAGAUGUGGGCACGGAUGCAGCUGUGGUUGCAGAUACAGAUGUGGGCACAGAUGCAGAUGUGCUGCAGCUGCAGGGCAAUGCUGCUGGGGGGUUUCAGGACCAGUAGGAUCCUUCACCCUCCCAGAACACCGCUCGCUGGUGGCUGCAGGGACACAGGGACACGAGGACACGGGGCCGUAGCGCUGCACGUGGCAGCUCCAUCCCUCCCUCCUCAGCAUCUCGCACAUGCAGGCGGUUGCUGCAAAGUGCUGACCCGCAUCCCAGCACUUCCUUACCACAUCCUGGAGAUUCCCAGAGCCUGGCACAUCCUCAUCCUCCUCCUGCCCAUCUCUGCCAUCGUGGCCAUCCCCAGGGGCUCCUGAGCCCCUUGGUGACAGCAAACCGGCCGUGGAUGGCACAGCGUGGCACGGGCAUCCUCCUUCCCGGAUGCCUUCCUCCUUCCCACAUCAUCCCCCUCAGUUGUUUGUCCCCAUCUGGCCCCAAUGCACAUGGAAUUGCGAUUGGAACUUGAACAAAGCCGCAGCUGCUCA